This 468-nucleotide ribosomal RNA is filed under the name uncultured bacterium. Its description in RNAcentral is "partial 16S ribosomal RNA". It matches the Rfam family "Bacterial small subunit ribosomal RNA", at positions 28 to 507 of the family's 1533-position model. The record is from RNAcentral.
GACGAACGCUGGCGGCGCGCUUAACACAUGCAAGUCGAACGGAAAGGCCCUGCUUUUGCGGGGCGCUCGUUUGGCGCACGGGUGAGUAACACGUGUGUAACCCGUCCCUGACUUUGGGAUAACUUCAGGAAACUCGGGCGCAAACCGCAUAUGAUCUCCUGCUCCGUGGGGUGGGUUGGAAAGUUUCGGCGGUUCGGUCAGGACUCGCGGGUUAUCCGCUUGUUGGUGUGGUAGUGGCUUACCAAGGCUUUGACGGGUAGCCGGCCUGAGAGGGUGACCGGCCACAUUGGGACUGAGAUACGGCCCAGACUCCUACGGGAGGCAGCAGUGGGGAAUAUUGCACAAUGGGCGGAAGCCUGAUGCAGCAACGCCGCGUGCGGGAUGACGGCCUUCGGGUUGUAAACCGCUUUCGCCUGUGACGAAGCGUGAGUGACGGUAAUGGGUAAAGAAGCACCGGCUAACUACGUG